Molecule: ribosomal RNA, 376 nt
Filed under: uncultured bacterium
Lineage: Bacteria
Description: bacterial SSU rRNA
Rfam family: Bacterial small subunit ribosomal RNA
Source: RNAcentral
UACGGAGGGUGCAAGCGUUGUUCGGAAUUAUUGGGCGUAAAGCGCGCGCAGGCGGCUAUUUAAGUCUGAUGUGAAAGCCCCGGGCUCAACCUGGGAAGUGCAUCGGAUACUGGGUAGCUUGAGUACGGGAGAGGGAAGCGGAAUUCCGAGUGUAGGGGUGAAAUCCGUAGAUAUUCGGAGGAACACCAGUGGCGAAGGCGGCUUCCUGGACCGAUACUGACGCUGAGGCGCGAAAGCGUGGGGAGCAAACAGGAUUAGAUACCCUGGUAGUCCACGCCGUAAACGAUGGGCACUAGGUGUCGCGGGUAUUGACCCCUGCGGUGCCGAAGCUAACGCAUUAAGUGCCCCGCCUGGGGAGUACGGCCGCAAGGCUAAA